AAGCAAUAGAAAGAAUGCUGCAAACAGCGGGACCAGAAGUCACAGCCAACUGAGGAAAAGUCCGACCAUGCCUUCGAUGGAAUGAUGAACUAAUGCCUCAAUUCCCUGUAGUGGAAGCCUGGUUAUAUUAUUUCUUCUGUCUUCUAACUCCCCUUCAGGGUUUUAAUAUGGCAGAGAUUCACUGGGAAUACAUGGACCAAGACUGAAUUUGAUUUUCCUUCUGGGAAAUGUUUACAAAAAAGAUCAAAGUGUGGACUGAAUGCACUCAAAGGCAAAUUAUGGGAUAAACUAUUUUCAAAGCAAAAAUCAUAAAUAAUGGACAGGAAGAGUGUAGGAGGGGGAAGUUACACGGCACCUUUCACCUGAAGAAGGGCUUGCACGCAGUCAGAUAGAGAAUGGUAUUUUUCGUGGUAUGUGCUUGGCCUGUAAAAAUAGAAGGCAAAGGGAAGGCAAAUGAGAAAUCACAGAAUGAGGAAAAGGUAACUGUAUGGCCAGUUUGAGAGAAGCCACUGUAAAUGUCAUCUCAGGCUUAAUCAAGCUUCAUGUAAGGGGCAGCAGGAUGUCAGAGGAACCCAAACCCAUUUCUCUCUUGGUAUCCUCUUUCCAGAGAAGCAUUGCUGUCAAAAUCCCUGCUAGGGCACUGCACCUCUGCCUGGCCUGGCAGCACCUGCAGGGUGCUGGGAUCCAGCCACCAGCACAAGGCACAGCGGGCAUCCACACUGCGCACUGCUCUCCAAAUCACAGCAGAAAGGGAAGCUUUCAUUUUUUGUCAUUUUAAUGAAGAAACAUCAAGAGGCAGAUGCCAUGAUCUCUGUUCACAAACAGAUUCCUUUAAGGUUAAUUACCCACAUCUGAGAUGAUUCAAUGGGGAAAUAUACAAAUCCAUAUGGCUACUGAAA
Molecule: non-coding RNA, 899 nt
Organism: Meleagris gallopavo (turkey)
Lineage: Eukaryota; Metazoa; Chordata; Aves; Galliformes; Phasianidae
Source: RefSeq, a predicted model, not a curated record